This 484-nucleotide ribosomal RNA is filed under the name uncultured bacterium. RNAcentral describes it as "partial 16S ribosomal RNA". It matches the Rfam family "Bacterial small subunit ribosomal RNA", at positions 30 to 507 of the family's 1533-position model. The record is from RNAcentral.
AUUGAACGCUGGCGGCAGGCCUAACACAUGCAAGUCGAGCGGAUGAAGGGAGCUUGCUCCUGGAUUCAGCGGCGGACGGGUGAGUAAUGCCUAGGAAUCUGCCUGGUAGUGGGGGAUAACGUCCGGAAACGGGCGCUAAUACCGCAUACGUCCUGAGGGAGAAAGUGGGGGAUCUUCGGACCUCACGCUAUCAGAUGAGCCUAGGUCGGAUUAGCUAGUUGGUGGGGUAAAGGCCUACCAAGGCGACGAUCCGUAACUGGUAUGAGAAGAUGACCAGUCACACUGGAACUGAGACACGGUCCAGACUCCUACGGGAGGCAGCAGUGGGGAAUAUUGGACAAUGGGCGAAAGCCUGAUCCAGCCAUGCCGCGUGUGUGAAGAAGGUCUUCGGAUUGUAAAGCACUUUAAGUUGGGAGGAAGGGCAGUAAGUUAAUACCUUGCUGUUUUGACGUUACCAACAGAAUAAGCACCGGCUAACUUCGUG